GAUGAACGCUGGCGGCGUGCCUAAUACAUGCAAGUCGAGCGAACGGACGAGAAGCUUGCUUUUCUGAUGUUAGCGGCGGACGGGUGAGUAACACGUGGAUAACCUACCUAUCAGACUGGGAUAACUUCGGGAAACCGGCGCUUAUACCGGAUAAUAUUUUGAACCGCAUGGUUCAAAAGUGAAAGACGGUCUUGCUGUCACUUAUAGCUGGAUCUGCGCUGCAUUAGCUAGUUGGUAAGGUAACGGCUUAUCAAGGCAACGAUGCAUAGCCGACCUGAUAGGGGGAUCGGCGACACGGGAGCGGAAACGCGGACCAUGCGCCUACGGGAGGCAGCAGAAGGGAAUCUUCCGCAAUGGGCGAGAGCAUGACGGAGCAACGCCGCGUGAGUGAUGAAGGUCUUCGGAUCGUAAAACUCUGUUAUUAGUGAAGAACAUAUGUGUAAGUAACUGUGCACAUCGUGACGGUACCUAAUCAGAAAGCCACGGCUAACUACGUG
Molecule: ribosomal RNA, 497 nt
Filed under: uncultured bacterium
Lineage: Bacteria
Description: partial 16S ribosomal RNA
Rfam family: Bacterial small subunit ribosomal RNA
Source: RNAcentral